This 554-nucleotide long non-coding RNA is filed under the name Canis lupus familiaris (dog). RNAcentral describes it as "lncRNA (ENSCAFG00000053869.1, ENSCAFG00845002897.1)". The record is from RNAcentral. Lineage: Eukaryota; Metazoa; Chordata; Mammalia; Carnivora; Canidae.
GCUGAGCAUCACCAAGACACAGAGGAUGACGUGAACAGUUAGGACACAGGACUGCUAGGCUAUGGAUGGUGCAGGAAACCAGAUGUCAUGAGCUUAACAGAAUCUGCAAUUACAUCUGACACCUUGAUGCCUUCCUUUCCUUUGGAACUUUCUUUCUUCUGUGGCAGCAGUCAGAAGCUUCCCCAAGGAGGGUGGAUGCUGAGGAGUCUGGAAGCAGCCAGAAGCUCUGCCCAGGUGAGCAGAGACAGCUGCCACCUGAGAGAGGCCCUAGCAUGAAUCACACGGACGCCAGGAAAAGGGCAGCUCGGCCAGAACAUCAGGACACUCCCGGCUUUGAUCCAUGGACAACCUGCCGGGGAAAUGGGUUGUGUUUCCUUUUCCCUUGCCUGCAAAUCAGACACCUUAGAGCUGAAAACCCUGCCGCUGCCUCCUUCGCACAGAAAUAAAGGACAGCUCUGGACGCCCGCACGGAUUUAGAUCUCCCCCUUCCGCCAGCCUCUCCAGGGCAGCCACCGCUGGGUGCUCCGCACUCUGGCCGGACCCGCUGCCCGGUG